This 1441-nucleotide ribosomal RNA is filed under the name Klebsiella pneumoniae UCI 37. RNAcentral's name for it is "bacterial LSU rRNA". It matches the Rfam family "Bacterial large subunit ribosomal RNA", at positions 1510 to 2925 of the family's 2925-position model. The record is from RNAcentral. Lineage: Bacteria; Pseudomonadati; Pseudomonadota; Gammaproteobacteria; Enterobacterales; Enterobacteriaceae.
GUUUAAGCAUGUAGGCUGGUUAUCCAGGCAAAUCCGGAUAAUCAAGGCUGAGGUGUGAUGACGAGGCACUACGGUGCUGAAGUAACAAAUGCCCUGCUUCCAGGAAAAGCCUCUAAGCAUCAGGUAACAUCAAAUCGUACCCCAAACCGACACAGGUGGUCAGGUAGAGAAUACCAAGGCGCUUGAGAGAACUCGGGUGAAGGAACUAGGCAAAAUGGUGCCGUAACUUCGGGAGAAGGCACGCUGGUGUGUAGGUGAAGUCCCUGCGGAUGGAGCUGAGACCAGUCGAAGAUACCAGCUGGCUGCAACUGUUUAUUAAAAACACAGCACUGUGCAAACACGAAAGUGGACGUAUACGGUGUGACGCCUGCCCGGUGCCGGAAGGUUAAUUGAUGGGGUUAUCCGUAAGGAGAAGCUCUUGAUCGAAGCCCCGGUAAACGGCGGCCGUAACUAUAACGGUCCUAAGGUAGCGAAAUUCCUUGUCGGGUAAGUUCCGACCUGCACGAAUGGCGUAAUGAUGGCCAGGCUGUCUCCACCCGAGACUCAGUGAAAUUGAACUCGCUGUGAAGAUGCAGUGUACCCGCGGCAAGACGGAAAGACCCCGUGAACCUUUACUAUAGCUUGACACUGAACAUUGAGCCUUGAUGUGUAGGAUAGGUGGGAGGCUUUGAAGCGUGGACGCCAGUCUGCGUGGAGCCAACCUUGAAAUACCACCCUUUAAUGUUUGAUGUUCUAACGUUGGCCCCUGACCGGGGUUGCGGACAGUGUCUGGUGGGUAGUUUGACUGGGGCGGUCUCCUCCCAAAGCGUAACGGAGGAGCACGAAGGUUAGCUAAUCCUGGUCGGACAUCAGGAGGUUAGUGCAAUGGCAUAAGCUAGCUUGACUGCGAGCGUGACGGCGCGAGCAGGUGCGAAAGCAGGUCAUAGUGAUCCGGUGGUUCUGAAUGGAAGGGCCAUCGCUCAACGGAUAAAAGGUACUCCGGGGAUAACAGGCUGAUACCGCCCAAGAGUUCAUAUCGACGGCGGUGUUUGGCACCUCGAUGUCGGCUCAUCACAUCCUGGGGCUGAAGUAGGUCCCAAGGGUAUGGCUGUUCGCCAUUUAAAGUGGUACGCGAGCUGGGUUUAGAACGUCGUGAGACAGUUCGGUCCCUAUCUGCCGUGGGCGCUGGAGAAUUGAGGGGGGCUGCUCCUAGUACGAGAGGACCGGAGUGGACGCAUCACUGGUGUUCGGGUUGUCAUGCCAAUGGCACUGCCCGGUAGCUAAAUGCGGAAGAGAUAAGUGCUGAAAGCAUCUAAGCACGAAACUUGCCCCGAGAUGAGUUCUCCCUGAGACUAUAAGUCUCCUGAAGGAACGUUAAAGACGAUGACGUUGAUAGGCCGGGUGUGUAAGCGCAGCGAUGCGUUGAGCUAACCGGUACUAAUGAACCGUGAGGCUUAACCUU